GUUUUUAUACGACCGCAAAAAUUAAAAAUUUUUUGGUCGUAUAUUGGUAUGACGUUGGCGUCGUCGUCGUCCGGCGUCGUCGUCGUCGUCGUCGUCGUCCGGCGUCGUCCGAAGACACAUUGGUUUUCGCACUCUAACUUUAGUUUAAGUGAAUGGAUCUCCAUGAAAUUUUACCAUAAGGUUCAAUACCACGAAAGGAAGGUUGGGAUUGAUUUUGGGGGUUAUGGUACCAACAGUUAAGGAAUUAGGGGCCAAAAAGGGGCCAAAAAUAAGCAUUUUUGUAACUUCCAGACAAUAACUUGUGUGUAAGUGUAUGGAUCUCUCUGACAUUGUACCACACGGUUCCAUAUCACAAAAGGAAUGCUGGGAUUGAUUUUGGGGGUAAUUGCCUCAAAAUUUUAGGAAUUAGGGGCAAAAAACAAGCAUUUUUCUAGUUUCAUGACAAUAACUUGUGUGUAAGUGUAUGGAUCUUUCUGAAAUUGUACUACAAGGUUCCAUAUCACAAAGGGAAAGCUGGAAUUGAGUUUGGCGGUAAUUGCCAAAAACGUUUAGGAAUAAGGGGCCAAAAGGGGGCCAAAAAUAAGCAUUUUUGUAACUUCCAGACAUUACUUGUGUGUUAGUGUAUGGAUCUCUCUGACAUUGUACCACAAGGUUCCAUAUCACAAAAGGAAUGCUGGGAUUGAUUUUGGGGGUAAUUGCCUCAAAAUUUAAGGAAUUAGGGGCCAAAAAAGGGCAAAAAAACAAGCAUUUUUCUAGUUUCAGGACUAUAACUUGUGUGUAAGUGUAUGGAUCUUUCUGAAAUUGUACUACAAGUUUCCAUAUCACAAAGGGAAAGCUGGGUUUGAGUUUGGGGGUAAUUGCCCUAAAUGUUUAGGAAUUUGGGGCCAAAAAGGGGCAAAAAAAAACAAGCAUUUUUCUAGUUUCCGGACAAUAACUUGUGUGCAAGUGUACGGAUCUCUCUCAAAUUGUACUGCAAGGCACCAUACAUUAUAACACAAAGGGAAGGCUGGGAUUGAGUUUGGGGGUGAUGAAUCAUAAGGGGGUUCAAAAAAUUUGUGGAGGGAUUUUUUUUUCCUUUUUUUUCUUUAAAAUUUUCAAUUUUAAAUUGGUUAUUUCUGAUUUAUAUAUAAAAGCAAAUAAUAAUAAUAUGGUUUGAAUAGGUAAAUUAAAAAAAUUUAAGUUCUUAGACCACAUUCAUUCUGUGUCAGAAACCUAUGCUGUGU
Molecule: long non-coding RNA, 1223 nt
Organism: Mytilus californianus (California mussel)
Lineage: Eukaryota; Metazoa; Mollusca; Bivalvia; Mytilida; Mytilidae
Exons: 4
Source: RefSeq, a predicted model, not a curated record